RNAcentral lists this ribosomal RNA (433 nucleotides) under uncultured bacterium. RNAcentral's name for it is "partial 16S ribosomal RNA". It matches the Rfam family "Bacterial small subunit ribosomal RNA", at positions 29 to 507 of the family's 1533-position model. The record is from RNAcentral.
AACGAACGCUGGCGGCAUGCCUAACACAUGCAAGUCGAACGAGACCUUCGGGUCUAGUGGUGCAUGGGUCCGUAACGGGUUGGAAACUGCCUUUAGGUUCGGAUUAACUUCCCGAAAGGCGUGCUAAUACCGGCUCAUGUCUCCGGAACAAAGGUUUAUCGCCUUUGGAUGGGCCCGCGUGGGAUUAGCUAGUUGGUAGGGUAAAAGCCUACCAAGGCGACGAUCCAUAGAUGGUUUGAGAGGAUGAUCAGCCACACUGGGACUGAGACACGGCCCAGACUCCUACGGGAGGCAGCAGUGGGGAAUAUUGGACAAUGGGCGAAAGCCUGAUCCGGCAAUGCCGCGUGAGUGAUGAAGGCCUUAGGGUUGUAAAGCUCUUUUACCCGGGAUGAUAAUGACAGUACCGGGAGAAUAAGCUCCGGCUAACUCCGUG